UUUUAUGAGAGUUUGAUCCUGGCUCAGGACGAACGCUGGCGGCGUGCCUAAUACAUGCAAGUCGUACGCUUCUUUUUCCACCGGAGCUUGCUCCACCGGAAAAAGAAGAGUGGCGAACGGGUGAGUAACACGUGGGUAACCUGCCCAUCAGAAGGGGAUAACACUUGGAAACAGGUGCUAAUACCGUAUAACAAUCGAAACCGCAUGGUUUUGAUUUGAAAGGCGCUUUCGGGUGUCGCUGAUGGAUGGACCCGCGGUGCAUUAGCUAGUUGGUGAGGUAACGGCUCACCAAGGCCACGAUGCAUAGCCGACCUGAGAGGGUGAUCGGCCACAUUGGGACUGAGACACGGCCCAAACUCCUACGGGAGGCAGCAGUAGGGAAUCUUCGGCAAUGGACGAAAGUCUGACCGAGCAACGCCGCGUGAGUGAAGAAGGUUUUCGGAUCGUAAAACUCUGUUGUUAGAGAAGAACAAGGAUGAGAGUAACUGUUCAUCCCUUGACGGUAUCUAACCAGAAAGCCACGGCUAACUACGUGCCAGCAGCCGCGGUAAUACGUAGGUGGCAAGCGUUGUCCGGAUUUAUUGGGCGUAAAGCGAGCGCAGGCGGUUUCUUAAGUCUGAUGUGAAAGCCCCCGGCUCAACCGGGGAGGGUCAUUGGAAACUGGGAGACUUGAGUGCAGAAGAGGAGAGUGGAAUUCCAUGUGUAGCGGUGAAAUGCGUAGAUAUAUGGAGGAACACCAGUGGCGAAGGCGGCUCUCUGGUCUGUAACUGACGCUGAGGC
Molecule: ribosomal RNA, 780 nt
Filed under: Salmonella enterica subsp. enterica
Lineage: Bacteria; Pseudomonadati; Pseudomonadota; Gammaproteobacteria; Enterobacterales; Enterobacteriaceae
Description: bacterial SSU rRNA
Rfam family: Bacterial small subunit ribosomal RNA
Source: RNAcentral